CGACGUCAAAUCAUCAUGCCCUUUAUGUCCUGGGCUACACACGUACUACAAUGGGUGUAACAGAGAGAAGCAAAGCAGCAAUGUGGAGCGAAACUUUAAAAAGCAUCCUCAGUUCGGAUUGAAGGCUGAAAUUCGCCUUUAUGAAGUCGGAAUUGCUAGUAAUGGCAGGUCAGCAUACUCGCCGUCAUAGUUCCGGCCUU
RNAcentral lists this ribosomal RNA (200 nucleotides) under uncultured prokaryote. RNAcentral's name for it is "partial 16S ribosomal RNA". It matches the Rfam family "Bacterial small subunit ribosomal RNA", at positions 1180 to 1363 of the family's 1533-position model. The record is from RNAcentral.